RNA transcript from Cebus imitator (Panamanian white-faced capuchin), 1209 nucleotides. It is a transcript of the gene named 60S ribosomal protein L7-like 1, with no coding region annotated. NCBI's taxonomy places the organism in Eukaryota, Metazoa, Chordata, Mammalia, Primates, Cebidae. The record is from RefSeq and is a predicted model, not a curated record. The transcript has a single exon.
UGCAACACUAGAAAGAUGGUGGAGCAAGAGCAAAGAAAAAUCCCUUUGGUUCCAGAAAAUCUCCUGAAAAAUAGGAAGUCUUAUCAAGCCCUCAAAGCUGCCCUGGCAAAGCAGGCAUUUUUGGCAAAGAAGAAGCAGAGAAAAGGAAAAGGGCUGAGGUUUGAGUGACUGGAAUCAUUUCUGCUUGAUUCCUGGUGGCAGAAACGUGACAAGGUACGUCUCAGAUGACUAGAAGUGAAACCUCAUGCCUUGGAAUUGCCAGAUAAACAUUCCUUGGCCUUUGUUGUGUGCAUCAAAAGGAUUGAUGGCGUGGGUUUACUGAUGCAGAGAAUCAUUGCAAGACUCCACUGGAAGAAAACUUUCAGUGGUGUCUUUGGAAAAGUCAUCCACAGAACCUAAAAAUGCUGUGUAUAGUGGAACCUUACGUGACCUGGGGGUUUCCAAGUCUGAAAUCUGUCUGGGAGCUCAUUCUGAAACAUGGACAAGCCAACGUCCAGAAUGAGACCAUUUUUCUGACAGACAGCAGGGUGAUCAAGGAGCACCUGGGGAAGUUUGGUGUCAUUUGCUUGGAAGACCUCAUUCAUGGAAUUGCCUUCCCAGGGAAGCGUUUCCAGGAGAUCUCGUGGUGGUUGUGCCUUUUCUACCUCUCAGUGGCCCAUCAUGCUACCAAAAAUAGAGCGGGCUUCCUCUAGAAGAUGGGCACACCUCGCUGUCUGGGCGAACGCAUCAAUCAGCUCAUCUUCCAGCUGAAGUAGACCCAGGUGCCAAAGUGCAGCAGAUUUUUAUCAAUGAAGUGGAAGGAUGUGUUUUUGUUUUUGGGGGGAAUUUUUAUCAAGUAUCUUCAGAGAAGAUUAUUUCCUGCUUUAUCUUCAAAAACUGGAAAGGAAGGAUCAAAGAAAAGAUAGUAGCUUAUGUUCAUGGCAAGGACCUCUCAUCACAGUCCAGCGUUUUCUACAUUGGCUGCCGCCUCGUCUGAAAUCAGCAUAUUCCAUGGAGGAGAGAGUUGUGCUGAGUUGCAUCUUCUAUCCUGAGGUUUAAUGUUGGCAAAUGAGUAACUCUAGCAUUUGUACAAGGCUCCCUAAGACUCCUGCAGUGAUCGGCCAAGCCCAGGGACAUAAUUGAAUCUGGAGAUUUCUGGGGCCUUGUUUUGAAAAAGACUUGAAAUACACAUAGGAAGAAAGGCCUCAAAAUAAAUGUUCACUUGUCUCU